AUUAGUUAGAUAAGCCAAAUAUAAGCGAAAUGCUAGAAAAACUUGUUCGAACAAAAUAUAAGUCAAACAUCAAUCACAUUCAUUGUUGUCUUUAUUACGUUGUUGAUGUAGCAAAUGUUGGAAACUUUUACUUGCAAAUCCUUCGUACGACAUCAAAUGAGAAGGAUAAUGUGGUUGCAAAGCAUACGUCGGGAGUGUUUGCUGUAAUAUAUAAAAAAAUUAAAACAUGAUAUGAGAUUUUAGAAAUUAAAAAAUAUAAGUAUACAAAAUAAUUAAUAUUCGUAUUAAGAAUAAAUUAUUAUAAAUUUUUACAAAAUUUGGAUCCACCAAUAAUUUAAUCCAUCAUAUUCUAAAAAUUUAAAUUAAAAAAAUAAUAAAUCGAACACAAAAUUUAAAUUAAAAAAUUCUAAAUCGAAACAAAAUUUAAAUUAAAAAAUUCUAAAUCCCACCCAUCAUUUAAAUUAAAAAACUUCUAAAUAAAAAGAUUUCUAAAUCAAACACAACAUUUAUAUUAAAAGAAAUUCUAAAUCCAACACAAAAUUUAAAUUAAAAAUUUCUAAAUCAAAUUUAUCAUUAUUUGAUUUCUAAAUAAAAUUUUCUAAAUCAAAAUUUCAUUAUCAUAUAACAAAAAAUAAUAGAAUAAAUAAAAAAUCACUCUUUACCAGCUGGGUGUUUUACUUCAAGCUGGUGAUGAACUACUCCUGCUAGGCUGCUAAUGCCGUUUUCCUGCUUCUAAAAUGAGAAAAAAAACCCAACUCAAUCCUUUCACGUGAAUGAGCAAAUACUCCUGGCUCCUGCCCUAAUGCCGCUCUCUCUACUUGUGAAAGAGAGAAAAAUCUCAACUCAAUUAGUGCUUUUCGACAGUUAGAAUCAAAUGUGGGGGACAAAGAGUAGAAAAUGUGGAAAAAGCAAAAGUAGCAAGAAAAAACAAAAGGGACAAAAGUUCACGUGGUGGGGGGUGGGGCCGUUUCUCUCGGCAUUCUCUCAGCAUUCUCGCUGAGAAGCAUUUUCCUUUGUCUUUUUGGUCGACUUUAACAUGAUUUAGAGCUUUUGAACGCGUCUUCCAAGUGCAGAUGCCGAGUAUAUCGACUGUUCGAUGAAAUGCCCAUUUGAAUAAUUUGAGGAUCCACGAGGCCACGCCACUGGUAUUUAGGAUGCGUUUGGGAUUGAGGUUGGGCAGCUGUAGCUUAAAAGCCACAGCACUAAAGUGUUUGGUAAACACUAGCUGUUGUAACUUUU
Molecule: long non-coding RNA, 1239 nt
Filed under: Citrus maxima (pomelo)
Lineage: Eukaryota; Viridiplantae; Streptophyta; Magnoliopsida; Sapindales; Rutaceae
Description: long non-coding RNA (CMAX_LNC004227)
Source: RNAcentral